RNAcentral lists this ribosomal RNA (446 nucleotides) under uncultured bacterium. Its description in RNAcentral is "partial 16S ribosomal RNA". It matches the Rfam family "Bacterial small subunit ribosomal RNA", at positions 355 to 784 of the family's 1533-position model. The record is from RNAcentral.
UGGGGAAUAUUGCACAAUGGGCGCAAGCCUGAUGCAGCCAUGCCGCGUGUGUGAAGAAAGGCCUUCGGGUUGUAAAGCAACUUUCAGCGAGGAGGAAAGGUGGUGAACUUAAUACGUUCAUCAAUUGACGUUACUCGCAGAAGAAGCACCGGCUAACUCCGUGCCAGCAGCCGCGGUAAUACGGAGGGUGCAAGCGUUAAUCGGAAUUACUGGGCGUAAAGCUCACGCAGGCGGUUUGUUAAGUCAGAUGUGAAAAUCCCCCGGGCUCAACCUGGGAACUGCAUUUGAAAACUGGCAAGCUAGAGUCUCGUAGAGGGGGGUAGAAAUUCCAGGUGUAGCGGUGAAAUGCGUAGAGAUCUGGAGGAAUACCGGUGGCGAAAGGCGGCCCCCCUGGACGAAGACUGACGCUCAGGUGCGAAAGCGUGGGGAGCAAACAGGAUUAGAUA